Long non-coding RNA from Suricata suricatta (meerkat), 477 nucleotides. RefSeq lists it as uncharacterized. The record is from RefSeq and is a predicted model, not a curated record. The transcript is spliced from 2 exons. NCBI's taxonomy places the organism in Eukaryota, Metazoa, Chordata, Mammalia, Carnivora, Herpestidae.
GCGUGCGCGCGGCCCGCGGCCGGGGCUCGGCCCGUAGCGGAGCGGAAGCCGUGGUCCCUCCGCUGCGGCUGCCUGCCAGCAGCCACGGACUGAGGACCCGAGAUCCCCGUGUCCGCCUCACUGUGAGAGCUGCCUGGGAAAAGUGAUAAAAUUGGGACUCCAGGCCCCACGCUCACUUGCGCAAAUCUAGAUGGAGGGAACGAGAAAUCGGCAUUUUCUAGUUUGGUCUCCGACAGUUCUUAUCCCUAAGGAAAUUUUCGAAAACACUGACCUGAGCCAAUCGAAUACUUUCUGGAGGGAAUUUGCCUUGGAAAUAUUCUGACGAGCGACUGUGGCUUGGGACGCAUGGCCCUCCCGAACCUCAAGGGAAGGAAGACCCGUGGUGGGAAGCAAGACUCAGCUGGACCCCAGGAACGCCAGAGCCAGCCCAUCGUUUUUAAAACCUUGUACCCAAAAAUAAAUACAUAAAACCUUGUA